RNAcentral lists this ribosomal RNA (301 nucleotides) under uncultured bacterium. RNAcentral's name for it is "partial 16S ribosomal RNA". It matches the Rfam family "Bacterial small subunit ribosomal RNA", at positions 509 to 809 of the family's 1533-position model. The record is from RNAcentral.
CAGUAGCCGCGGUAAUACGAGGGGGGCAAGCGUUGUUCGGAAUUAUUGGGCGUAAAGGGUGCGUAGGCGGCCCCGCAAGUCUCAUGUGAAAUCUUCAGGCUCAACUUGAAGUCUGCAUGGGAAACUGCGGGGCUGGAGUAUGGGAGAGGUGAGUGGAAUUCCUGGUGUAGCGGUGAAAUGCGUAGAUAUCAGGAGGAACACCUGUGGCGAAAGCGGCUCACUGGACCAUAACUGACGCUGAGGCACGAAAGCUAGGGGAGCAAACAGGAUUAGAUACCCCCGUAGUCCCUGUCUCUUAUAA